Hypomesus transpacificus is the source of this 875-nucleotide long non-coding RNA. RefSeq lists it as uncharacterized. The record is from RefSeq and is a predicted model, not a curated record. NCBI's taxonomy places the organism in Eukaryota, Metazoa, Chordata, Actinopteri, Osmeriformes, Osmeridae. The transcript is spliced from 4 exons.
CUCAACAGGAAGCACACCAUUUCUACUUGGUACAAAGUUGCCGUUGACAGUUUGAUGAAAAAGUGUGUAUUCGCAUAAAUUUCAGAUCAUAUGCUAAUCUUUUUCUAAGUGUGCAAAAAUCACCAGCAGUUCAAAACAGAUCCUUGUGCCUUGCAUAGCCGUACCUGGAUGAGUUUCUUACACAUCUCACCACUCAUCUGGUAACUGUGAGUCGGUGUGCGGUCUUUGAGACGUUGGUGUGUUGUUUUAAUAAUAAAAAAGAUAGAUCUACUAGCUGACCCCUGGAGAUUUAAGAUAAGAGUCUUGGAUGCAACAUCGGAGGGUACACUGGAGACCAAAUGACAGCAGGAUGGCUGUUACUUUUCAUAUUUGUGUCUAUAGGAACCAGACAAUCCUUCCUAGUAAAACCAGAAAAAGGGUCUGCCUCACACAUCUAAAAAGCGAAGCAAGACAGAAAGGGAGACAAAGUUGAAAUACACCAAAUUAUAGUCGACAUGAGAGAGUGUUCCGCUCGGCUUCCCAGGCUCCACAUGCAAUCAGGAUCGGUGCUUCCCCAGUGGCUUCAGGUGGAUGGGCAAGAGGACAGGGGACAGGGGGCCUUACAAAGCCUCCCUUCUCCAACACCACUCUAAUUAGGCUUUGACGAGGAACAACACAGGAGCCUGCAGACGAACGUGCACAGACACACACACACACACCCAAUACAGCAAUCCCAUGCCUCGUUGGAGUUGUUAAGUAAUUGAAUUGGUGCAAGUGCCACAACAUUGACUUUAUAUUGCCACAGGACUCAAUAUUUACAAUUCAUAGUUGAUCAUUGGAGCAAGGAUUCAAUUCUGCCUUUUGGUAGUUGUAUGAAUAAAUAAAGUGACGUUUUA